Molecule: long non-coding RNA, 1113 nt
Filed under: Apis mellifera (honey bee)
Lineage: Eukaryota; Metazoa; Arthropoda; Insecta; Hymenoptera; Apidae
Description: uncharacterized LOC102653728, transcript variant X3
Source: RNAcentral
AUCUUUUAUGAAAUUUAUAAAUUGCAAGUUUAUUCAUUCUUCUCAUUCCAUUACCACAAUAUUAAAUUUUCAAGUCAGGUUAACUGAGAUUUGUCGAAGGUUCCAGCAGCUCUAAAACAGUAGAGGAAAUUCAAUGUGAUUCAGUUCACGUUGAAACGAAUCGGUAUAACACAAAGUGUAUCGACAUCCGGCCGGAAUCGAGAUUCAGUGUCUUGGAUCGUGAACGAUCCAUUCGAACCGGUGGAAAACCGUUUUCGGUAUGCCGGUUCGGUGGCUCCAAUGAAAAAUAGGUUACCUUUUAGUAAACCGUUUUACCAGUACUCUGUACCCGGAGGGAAUGAAGAUCAAUAAAACAGCGAGAGAAAAAGAACGAUUUGAGGGUGGCCCCGGCGUUUCAAGGCGACGACGGCAGGGCAGGGGUGGACAAAAUAGGGGUGGGUAGGGGGGAGGGGAACGAUGCCUCGUUCAAUUUAAAUGAAACUCGUAUUAACGGUGUGAAAUCAGCGAAUUCAAUUAGGCGAGCUUUUAUUAAUACAACAUGAUUAAUUAAACAAUACCGUGGGAGGAGGGGGGGGAGGGGCGGUAGUGGAAGGAGUAGUGGAAGGUUCAGGGAGUCGCAAAGGGUUGUCGGGAGAGCGGCAGAUGUUCGUGGCGUCAACCAAAUUAUUAAAUGUCAGAAACAAUUGAAAAUUUGAAUGCGGCGGUUGAAAAAGACACGCACCCCACGUUAUUCACGAUUAUGCGGUUGCUGCCACGACCUUGACUUUAACGGGGUCGGAUCCGGAGCACUUAACCGCUCUCUCAUUAACGUGGAAGCAGAUGUGAAUGCAAGGCGCAUGCAGCCACGGACUGGUGAAAAUGUGUUCAUAAGUGGAGCGGAAUUCCCCUUUGUUCUUGCCGAAAGGAACGAGGACGAGAGUUGCUUUCUACCUGAAGAAAAAUGACACUGGAGGAACUUAAGCGAAAAAUCAUCCCUCUCGAAAAACGAGCCUAUCCAAAUUCGACCACGAUAUUAAAUCUUGGAACGAGAUGCCUGAGAUUCUAUUUCGUGCAAUGGAUUUAGAGAUUAGGCCGCAGAAUAGCGCAGCUGUGUUGACUACAAAUCUCCACCUG